Molecule: ribosomal RNA, 406 nt
Filed under: uncultured bacterium
Lineage: Bacteria
Description: partial 16S ribosomal RNA
Rfam family: Bacterial small subunit ribosomal RNA
Source: RNAcentral
AUUGAACGCUGGCGGCAGGCCUAACACAUGCAAGUCGCACGAGUGGCGGACGGGGGAGUAAUGUCUGGGAAACUGCCUGAUGGAGGGGGAUAACUACUGGAAACGGUAGCUAAUACCGCAUACCAUCGGCAGUGCCCAGAUGGGAUUAACUAGUAGGGGGGGUAAAGGCUCACUUAUGCCACGAUCCCUAGCUGGUCUGAGAGGCUGACCAGCCACACUGUAACUUAGACACGGUCCAGACUACUAAGUGAGGCAGCAGUGGAGAAUAUUGAACAAUGGGCGCAUGCCUGAUGCAGCCAUGCCGCGUGUAUGAAGAAGGCCUUCGGGUUGUAAAGUACUUUCAGCGGGGAGGCUUUACCCGCAGAAGAAGCACCGGCUAACUCCGUGCCAGCAGCCGCGGUAAUAC